Molecule: non-coding RNA, 79 nt
Filed under: Caldibacillus debilis GB1
Lineage: Bacteria; Bacillati; Bacillota; Bacilli; Caryophanales; Bacillaceae
Source: RNAcentral
AUGAGCAGUAUGCGAUGACCCGCACGUACGGUUCUGUGAGAAGGGUAGUCGUAGCUGGCGGCCGCUGCUCGAUUUCGGU